Mauremys mutica (yellowpond turtle) is the source of this 741-nucleotide long non-coding RNA. RefSeq lists it as uncharacterized. The record is from RefSeq and is a predicted model, not a curated record. NCBI's taxonomy places the organism in Eukaryota, Metazoa, Chordata, Testudines, Geoemydidae. The transcript has 4 exons.
GGGAACCCGUUGUUAAGAUUUUGGCAGCUCAUCACUGAUAUUAUCUAUGAGGAAACCUUGCAAUAUCACAGAACUUGGAUUCCUAGAAUAUCUGUUCAAGUUAUGAAACAAUAUGCUGCAAAAGGUCACAUCUAGAGGUAUUUGUUAGAAAAUGCAUGAGCUGAGCUGCAGUAAACAGUUCAGAGUGUUCUGAGAAUAUAUUGCACUUUAAUAGCACUAAAGAAGCAAUCCAUGGAAGACACUCCCGCUGAGCUGCAUGAACCAAACAGUGUGGAAAUGCACUAUGGCUCAGGAAAAGUGACUCUGCCUUAUAGAAUCCAUGUACAUGUAUAAACACUUUCCUUUGGAGAUCAAUGAGCUUCUCCAUAAUUAUUCCACUGGAGGAAAGGCAAUUUGGCUUUCCAAACUCAGACAUUGGGAGAUCCGUUGAGACCAAGGCAAUCUGUGUGAAAACCCUGUACCUCCAUAGUGAUGGCUGGUAGUCAGGAGUGAUUAGACUGGAAACAGAAUGAAGGGAUAGUACUUCUAAACCUUGUCAGCACAAAAUGGGAUGCCACUCAGCACAUUUCACAGUUAUAAUAAUAUCUUCUUUCUACUUUCUUUCAAGUUUUGAUCAACAGAGUAUUAAUUAACAUUGAUAUGGAAUUUGCCAUUGUGCUUUCAGAGUUAACAACACUUCUGCAUGACUAGGUGUGGCUUAUGUUUGUUAGAACUAUUUUUUAAAGCUGUUUGCAGACUCAA